RNAcentral lists this ribosomal RNA (253 nucleotides) under uncultured bacterium. Its description in RNAcentral is "partial 16S ribosomal RNA". It matches the Rfam family "Bacterial small subunit ribosomal RNA", at positions 524 to 776 of the family's 1533-position model. The record is from RNAcentral.
UACGUAGGUGGCGAGCGUUGUCCGGAAUUACUGGGCGUAAAGGGAGCGUAGGCGGUUUUUUAAGUGGGAUGUGAAAUCCCCGGGCUUAACCUGGGAAUUGCAUUCCAAACUGGAAGACUAGAGUGCAGGAGAGGAAAGUGGAAUUCCAAGUGUAGCGGUGAAAUGCGUAGAGAUUUGGAGGAACACCAGUGGCGAAGGCGACUUUCUGGACUGUAACUGACGCUGAGGCUCGAGAGCGUGGGGAGCAAACAGG